This is a long non-coding RNA of Equus caballus (horse), 2376 nucleotides long. The record is from Ensembl. Lineage: Eukaryota; Metazoa; Chordata; Mammalia; Perissodactyla; Equidae.
AAAGUUGUCUCAGAUAGAUAGGUAGACAGACAGACAUGUAAAAUUUAAAAAGAUGAGACAUUGUGAAGAGGACGGGCCUGGGUGCUGGAGCCUUCCCACGUUCACCACCAGCCUUUGGAGGCUGGGACAGGCAGAGGGACCAGGACUCUGGCUUUGGGUGUUCACCUCACCACAGGUUCAUCUAUUAUCAUCACGGCACAUGCUGUGUCCUUGUUCACAAGGCUACCACGGAAGAUCUGUGACAUCCCCGUGCCAUUUCUGUAUUUUUCCCUGAUCUACUUGUCUGGUUACCCUGUGUAAAAAAGUAUUUGUUUGGAGUGAAUUCUUGAGUGAAUUCAUGUAGAUUCCUGGUAAUGUAUGCUUUGUUUUGUUUGUUUCAGUUCAGACAAGCCAUCUGUUUAUUAAGCCAUAUAAGAAUUUUAGGAAGGUGUAAAUUCAAGUUCAUCAACCCAGAGUUUCUAGGAUACAAUUUUAUUUGAAAGUGGCAGUGCUAUUUGUCCCUCUCCAGGUGUCCAGUUUUAACCUGGUUUCCAAUGAAUGCUGACAGUUGUCCUCAGAUUAAAUCCGCAAAUUCUUUUUCUGUCCCAUGACGUAUUUAUUUGGGCUUAAAGGCUUGAACCAGUUUGAGUGAUCCUGAGCUUUUAUACAAUCUUCUCACCUAUGUUGGGCCUCAGUUUCUUGUUGACCUUGAGUAUUCUACCAUUUGCUUUUUGAAGAUCAUCUUUUCUUUCAAGAUGAGAGGUGUCAUAUUUUCCAUCUUACCCAAGGGAUGCGACUAUAUGCCUUUCCUCCUUUGGGUUCCAAAUAGAGCUAAAACCACAUGUGCCAGCUUCUUUCUUUUGAGAGGAAUUCUUUCUAUGAGUGGGGGGCAUGAGAAUGGGCCCCAUUGAUGGAGAGACUAGAUGAAUUCCAUGUUUCUAGGCAACUCCAGGAGUCGGCAGACCUCCACGCUGCUGUCCUGCCUGUUCCAUCAGCACCACCCACUUCUCUUUAGUGACCUGGCAAGGGUUCUUAAAACACGGCCGCCUUCGACGUCGGGUGAGAGCCUCUGCACCAUCUCUCUGGAGUCUGGAGGCUGAAUGUGAGGCCUACUUCAGUAUGUUGAGACCCAGUUGACACCUGCACAACAGCACCAUGAGUGUGGCUUUCAUCUUUGCGGCUGCUUCCCCCAGAGUAAGUAAGAGGGAGAACCAGGUGCACAGCAAGCAUUUUGUCAAGGACGAUGGGGUGGGAAGAACGUCAACUGUGUGGCCUCUGGAGAGUCCCUUUGCUUUCUGAGCCUCAAUUGGCACAUCUGCAAAGUGGAGCUAAUGACUCCUGCCCUGACUCCCUCCUGGGCUUGUUGACAAAACUCAGAUCGGAGGUGUUGUUCUUCCAGCAUUUUGGAAGCUUUUGAAGUGCUUGACAAGUGUAGAGAAUCCAUCUAAUUAAGGAAGAGGAUAAACAAAAGCCACCACAUGAAUGAGGUUUCUGGAAUGGGAUGCAGUCCAAUCCACAGGGAAACAGCCCCUGGAUGCCUCAUCCUUUGCCAUCCCUAAUGAGGAAACAGCCCAAUCCUUAGAUAGCUAGAGUCAUUAAUCUGUGGGUUAAAAAGUUAAUGCUUAGCCAAGCUUUCUCCAUCCUUUUUGGCAUGUGGCGUAUAUUCAAUAUGGCUCCAUGGAGCCAACCAGGAGCCCCUGCUUGAUGGAAUGGUCUCCUCUGUCAGGCUGGAAAAGACAGACACCGUAACUGUUUGACCAACAAAUGUAUAGAAAAUAGUGUCUGCCCUCAGUACCUGAGAGCCUUUGGCAACUCAUCUCACACCAUUGCCUUCAGACUGUAAAACUCAUUAGACUGCGAAGCAAGUUUUCCUGGCAGCACAGGGAGGAAUGAGGUGUGGUUGACUGUGGAUCUGGAAGCCUGUGGAUCAUCUCAGCUUCAUCCCUGACCUGCUGUGUGACCUUCAUAGGGCACUUCACCAUUCUGGGCCCGGGUUCUUUGGAUCUGAAAAUCAAGGCCUUAAGGGAAGAGGUCCCCAAGGCCUUUUCCAGCUGUAAAACUCAAUGAAACAUUGAAAACCCUUCGCAAACCUGAAGACAGCUGGCCUGUCCCUCCUCCCCAGUCUCUCGCCUUUCGCCGUGUGAAACAUUUCUAAUCCUUUCAUAAUUUCAAGGCAAUUUGCCGUCUUGAUGGUGGUACCUUGGAAUCCAGUCAGAUUUGUCUUGAAAUGUGGUGUGCAGAGCUGAACUUUGGACCUUGGAGAGACUCGACUAUCUUAGAGGAGAAGGGAAUUAUUGCCUCCUUUGUUCUGGAUGGGGGUUUUUUGUUUUGUUUUUAAGUAAAAACAGUCUGAUAUUGAAUUAGUAUUUUUUAACUCAAAUUGAACUUGUAACUAAG